Molecule: ribosomal RNA, 557 nt
Filed under: uncultured archaeon
Lineage: Archaea
Description: bacterial SSU rRNA
Rfam family: Archaeal small subunit ribosomal RNA
Source: RNAcentral
CCCUACGGGGUGCAGCAGGCGCGAAACCUUUACAAUGCACGAAAGUGUGAUAAGGGAAUCCUAAGUGCUCACGCUAUGCGUGGGCUUUUGCCAAGGGUAAAAACCUUGGAGAAUAAGUGGUGGGUAAGACUGGUGCCAGCAGCCGCGGUAACACCAGCGCCACGAGUGGGGACCAUGUUUAUUUGGCCUAAAGCGUCCGUAGCUGGCUUUGUAAAUCUCUUGUGAAAUCGUUAAGCUCAACUUAACGGCAUGCAGAAGACACUGCAAGGCUUGAGACCGGGGGGGGUAUGGAGUAUUCUGAGGGAACCGGUAAAAUGGGAUAAUCCUCGGAAGACUACCUGUGGCGAAGGCGCCAUACCAGAACGGAUCUGACAGUGAGGGACGAGGGCUAGGGGAGCGAACCGGAUUAGAUACCCGAGUAGUCCUAGCAGUAAACGCUGCGGGCUAGGUGUUGCACAAUCUCCGAGAUUGUGCAGUGUCGAAGCGAAGGCGUUAAGCCCGCCGCCUGGGAAGUAUGGUCGCAAGACUGAAACUUAAAGGAAUUGGCGGUGGAGCAC